This 583-nucleotide long non-coding RNA is filed under the name Sus scrofa (pig). RNAcentral describes it as "lncRNA (ENSSSCG00025023236.1)". Lineage: Eukaryota; Metazoa; Chordata; Mammalia; Artiodactyla; Suidae. The record is from RNAcentral.
AAGAAACAUACUGUCUGCCAGUGUUACCAGCUACUUACUGAUAAUAUCUUUUCUUCCUCUGUGGCUGGAAAGAAGGGUAAAUUACCUUGCUGUGGGCGACAACCCCCCACCUUUGCAGUCCUGACUUACUUAGCACUGACUCCUACUAGCACCAUCUACUAAUGAGUUUGUAACUCGCCUUUGUCCGAGCUGGUCAGAAAAUGUGCAUUUCCAUUAUGAUCACAUAUGGCAUUUAAAAUAGUUUCUUUUUAUCUCCAAUAAUUUAUAGAUGCAAAAUCCUAGAGUGUUUAUAAAUUUAAUAAAAUCCCUAACUUCCUUUUUAAGCAUUUGCUUUUUUUUUUCCUUUGGAAGGAAAAAAAAAAGACUCCUCCUUUUCAUGUCUUGGGUUGAAUCCUUUUUCACGCUUCUCCUUUUCAUGUCUUUCAGGGAAUCCUUGUGCUACAUGCAUUGCCAGCAUCAGUAUAUCCAGAGGUUACCAUCUGCAUCGAGAGCACAUCCUUGCUCACAGAGAGAGGGGACCUGGAGAGGGGAGAUGCUAAGCAAUGGAAGAGCAGUCACCAGCCUCGUACUUGUCCCUACCUGA